GAUGAACGCUAGCGGCAGGCCUAAUACAUGCAAGUCGAACGGGAUCCAGAUCAAAGCUUGCUUUGGUCUGGUGAGAGUGGCGCACGGGUGCGUAACGCGUGAGCAACCUACCCUUGUCAGGGGGAUAGCCCGGCGAAAGUCGGAUUAAUACCGCAUGACAUCAUUGAGAGGCAUCUUUCGAUGAUCAAAGAUUUAUCGGACAAGGAUGGGCUCGCGUGACAUUAGCUAGUUGGUAAGGUAACGGCUUACCAAGGCUGCGAUGUCUAGGGGCUCUGAGAGGAGAAUCCCCCACACUGGUACUGAGACACGGACCAGACUCCUACGGGAGGCAGCAGUAAGGAAUAUUGGUCAAUGGACGGAAGUCUGAACCAGCCAUGCCGCGUGCAGGAGGACGGCCCUAUGGGUUGUAAACUGCUUUUAUACGGGAACAAACGUCGGUACGUGUACCGGUCUGAGUGUACCGUAAGAAUAAGAAUCGGCUAACUCCGUG
This 490-nucleotide ribosomal RNA is filed under the name uncultured bacterium. RNAcentral's name for it is "partial 16S ribosomal RNA". It matches the Rfam family "Bacterial small subunit ribosomal RNA", at positions 28 to 507 of the family's 1533-position model. The record is from RNAcentral.